GAUGAAGAACGCAGCGAAAUGCGAUAAGUAAUGCGAAUUGCAGAAUUCCAGUGAGUCAUCGAAUCUUUGAACGCACAUUGCGCCCUUUGGUAUUCCGAAGGGCAUGCCUGUUCGAGCGUCAUUAUCACCCCUCAAGCCCUCGGCUUGGUGUUGGACGGUUUGGUGGAGGCCCCCUCGGGGGCUCCUGCCCCUCCCAAAGACAAUGACGGCGGCCUCGUUGGACCCCCGGUACACUGAGUUCUUCACGAGACACGUAUCGGACACAUGGGUUUACGGGACACGGUCUGCCUCCCCUCAGGGAGAAUCUUUCUAAGGUUGACCUCGGAUCAGGUAGGGAUACCCGCUGAACUUAAGCAUAUCAAUAAGCGGAGGA
RNAcentral lists this unclassified non-coding RNA (373 nucleotides) under soil metagenome. Its description in RNAcentral is "partial contains 5.8S ribosomal RNA, internal transcribed spacer 2, and large subunit ribosomal RNA". The stretch from base 1 to 121 matches the Rfam family "5.8S ribosomal RNA", at positions 35 to 154 of the family's 154-position model. The record is from RNAcentral.